Molecule: ribosomal RNA, 592 nt
Filed under: uncultured bacterium
Lineage: Bacteria
Description: bacterial SSU rRNA
Rfam family: Bacterial small subunit ribosomal RNA (bases 1-525)
Source: RNAcentral
CCUACGGGAGGCAGCAGUGGGGAAUAUUGCACAAUGGGCGAAAGCCUGAUGCAGCGACGCCGCGUGAGGGAUGACGGCCUUCGGGUUGUAAACCUCUUUCAGCAGGGAAGAAGCGAAAGUGACGGUACCUGCAGAAGAAGCGCCGGCUAACUACGUGCCAGCAGCCGCGGUAAUACGUAGGGCGCAAGCGUUGUCCGGAAUUAUUGGGCGUAAAGAGCUCGUAGGCGGCUUGUCACGUCGGUUGUGAAAGCCCGGGGCUUAACCCCGGGUCUGCAGUCGAUACGGGCAGGCUAGAGUGUGGUAGGGGAGAUCGGAAUUCCUGGUGUAGCGGUGAAAUGCGCAGAUAUCAGGAGGAACACCGGUGGCGAAGGCGGAUCUCUGGGCCAUUACUGACGCUGAGGAGCGAAAGCGUGGGGAGCGAACAGGAUUAGAUACCCUGGUAGUCCACGCCGUAAACGGUGGGAACUAGGUGUUGGCGACAUUCCACGUCGUCGGUGCCGCAGCUAACGCAUUAAGUUCCCCGCCUGGGGNGACGCGCAGACAACACAAGAAGUAGAGCGNGAGACGNGCGACGACGACGACGAGGAGGAGG